UACAGAGACUGCAAGCGUUAUUCGGAUUCACUGGGCGUAAAGGGUGCGCAGGCGGUCGGGUGUGUCAGAUGUGAAUCCCGAGGCUCAACCUCGGAACUGCGUCUGAAACUACUCGACUAGAGUACUGGAGAGGGUAACGGAAUUCACGGUGUAGCAGUGAAAUGCGUAGAUAUCGUGAGGAACACCAGAGGCGAAGGCGGUUACCUGGACAGUUACUGACGCUCAGGCACGAAGCAUGGGGAGCAAAAGGG
RNAcentral lists this ribosomal RNA (251 nucleotides) under uncultured bacterium. RNAcentral's name for it is "partial 16S ribosomal RNA". It matches the Rfam family "Bacterial small subunit ribosomal RNA", at positions 524 to 776 of the family's 1533-position model. The record is from RNAcentral.